UAUAAGACUGGGAUAACUUCGGGAAACCGGAGCUAAUACCGGAUAAUAUAUUGAACCGCAUGGUUCAAUAGUGAAAGACGGUUUUGCUGUCACUUAUAGAUGGAUCCGCGCCGCAUUAGCUAGUUGGUAAGGUAACGGCUUACCAAGGCAACGAUGCGUAGCCGACCUGAGAGGGUGAUCGGCCACACUGGAACUGAGACACGGUCCAGACUCCUACGGGAGGCAGCAGUAGGGAAUCUUCCGCAAUGGGCGAAAGCCUGACGGAGCAACGCCGCGUGAGUGAUGAAGGUCUUCGGAUCGUAAAACUCUGUUAUUAGGGAAGAACAAAUGUGUAAGUAACUAUGCACGUCUUGACGGUACCUAAUCAGAAAGCCACGGCUAACUACGUGCCAGCAGCCGCGGUAAUACGUAGGUGGCAAGCGUUAUCCGGAAUUAUUGGGCGUAAAGCGCGCGUAGGCGGUUUUUUAAGUCUGAUGUGAAAGCCCACGGCUCAACCGUGGAGGGUCAUUGGAAACUGGAAAACUUGAGUGCAGAAGAGGAAAGUGGAAUUCCAUGUGUAGCGGUGAAAUGCGCAGAGAUAUGGAGGAACACCAGUGGCGAAGGCGACUUUCUGGUCUGUAACUGACGCUGAUGUGCGAAAGCGUGGGGAUCAAACAGGAUUAGAUACCCUGGUAGUCCACGCCGUAAACGAUGAGUGCUAAGUGUUAGGGGGUUUCCGCCCCUUAGUGCUGCAGCUAACGCAUUAAGCACUCCGCCUGGGGAGUACGACCGCAAGGUUGAAACUCAAAG
This 789-nucleotide ribosomal RNA is filed under the name uncultured Staphylococcus sp. RNAcentral describes it as "bacterial SSU rRNA". It matches the Rfam family "Bacterial small subunit ribosomal RNA", at positions 131 to 906 of the family's 1533-position model. The record is from RNAcentral. Lineage: Bacteria; Bacillati; Bacillota; Bacilli; Caryophanales; Staphylococcaceae.